This 368-nucleotide ribosomal RNA is filed under the name uncultured bacterium. Its description in RNAcentral is "bacterial SSU rRNA". It matches the Rfam family "Bacterial small subunit ribosomal RNA", at positions 527 to 895 of the family's 1533-position model. The record is from RNAcentral.
GUAGGGUGCAAGCGUUAAUCGGAAUUACUGGGCGUAAAGCGUGCGCAGGCGGUUUUGUAAGUCUGUUGUGAAAUCCCCGGGCUCAACCUGGGAAUGGCAAUGGAGACUGCAAGGCUAGAGUUUGGCAGAGGGGGGUAGAAUUCCACGUGUAGCAGUGAAAUGCGUAGAUAUGUGGAGGAACACCGAUGGCGAAGGCAGCCCCCUGGGUCAAAACUGACGCUCAUGCACGAAAGCGUGGGGAGCAAACAGGAUUAGAUACCCUGGUAGUCCACGCCCUAAACGAUGUCUACUAGUUGUCGGGUCUUAAUUGACUUGGUAACGCAGCUAACGCGUGAAGUAGACCGCCUGGGGAGUACGGUCGCAAGAUU